This 3327-nucleotide unclassified non-coding RNA is filed under the name Leishmania donovani. RNAcentral describes it as "gene:LdHU3.29.1010(CDS-product:hypothetical_prote in_conserved)". The record is from RNAcentral. Lineage: Eukaryota; Euglenozoa; Kinetoplastea; Trypanosomatida; Trypanosomatidae.
CAGAGGCGAGUUUGCAAUGGCUCUCCACUUUAUGUUGCUCUAGCGCUUAUAAACGUACACGCACACGCACACUAGCUGGCAUUUGUGUGCAAGCAGCCCCCUCCCCCUUCCCCCGCUACGUCUGAGUGUGGGUGCGCAAGUGCAGCAGUGAAGAGUGUAUCGGGAGGCAGCACCAUCACUGGGGCAUUGCAGCAGGACAGCACCGCGAGGCACCUGUGCGCGCACGUUUUCGUUUUCAUCGACAAGGAAGAAGGCACGAACCACAACAGCCAAAGGCACAGAGAGGGAGGGUGCGUUUUAGACAACACACGAUGAAAUCCGGAAUAGCACCUCCGACGCUGUCCUUCAAGCGCAAGGCCAUCACCGAAACUGCCUCCGCCGCGCAUGGGUGCCUUCUCGUCUACCCGGUGAGCAAGAAGUCGAAGCAGCGCGUUGCCGUGGGAGACAGCACGGGCCUCUUCAAGGUCUUCUCUGUUGGCAAGCGGCUGGAGCCGGUGGUUGCCUUCGAGACGCCGGAGACCGUUGCGCAGACGGGCGAGAGCGGCGCGGAAAAGGAGAAGAAGGCCAUCACUGCUGCCACGCUCUUCUCGGACCAACUCUUCUACAUCCAGGGCAGCGUCCUGCACGCGUACUCGCGCAAGGGUAAGCCCUUCUUUACCGUGGACACCAAUGUCACAGAGAGGGUGCACUCGCUGGCCAUCGAAACGCCCUUCAUAUUCUUAGCGGGCGACUUCAUGGUCACCACGAUGAGUGAGAGAAAGGAGCUCGGGUUCUUCUUGGCUCCCGAUCGCGUGAACGACAUGUGCGUGUACAUAGUCCCCAGCGCCGUGAUGCGCGACGGCGAGCGUCAGCUGGGCGACUACGUGAGCUGCCUGGCAUGCAACGAUCGCGUGCUGCGGUUGGUGCAGGCGAACAAACUCGUGGAGGAGGUCAGCUGCGAGGCUGCCCUCACCACCGUGGUCUACCACAGUGUUCAGCGGCUGCUGUUCUACGGAACGCAGUCGGGCUCCAUCGGCGUCAUGGCCGUGGCGGACAACGGAAGCGUGCACAAGGUAGGCGCCCACAUGCCGGACGGCCCCCGGGGCACCAUCACCAGCCUCGGUUUUGCGGAUGUGAAUGCGGAUGGGCAGGAUGAACUCCUUGUCGGGUACGACGACGGCACCGUGUGCGUCAUGGUCGUGCACCUGAGCCGUUCUAUGAGCAUCACCGGCAUAGACGCCGUGCAGCUAACCCUGGUGUGGGCAGGAAGUGUCGAGGAGCGGGUGAUGAGCGUCGCUGGCGGCAUCAUCACACAUACAGCAGCGCAGCCAGACGUCCUCGUGCACACGUUCAGUGGGCAGGUGGUCGCUUUUACUUUGGAUACUGAUGAACCCAGGGGGGAUACCCAGGCAGCCGCGGCCGAGGCGGCGGCGAAGCAGGCAGCGCUCAUCGCAAAGCAGCAGGAUACGCAGGGCGAGAUCGCGCAGCUGCGGGCACUCGUCGCGCAGCGCACCAGAGAGCUGAGUGAAGUCCCAGUGCUGCGGAAGGCGGAGGAGGCGCCGGUGCUGACGGUGAGCGCCGGCUUUAAAAUGUCCGUCACCCUCACACCAGUGGAAGCGAUGCCGAUGCUAUCGCUGGUAGUGUCCGCCGAUGCCUCGCUGGAAGGCAUGCUGAUCCAGUGCAACGCAGCGCUGACCUUUGUGUCCACUGACAACACCGCGGUGAAGACGCGGGUGGUGGGCGGCGGGGCCGCGUCGACGUCUCCGUCCACGCAGAGCGCCACCGCGGCGGUAGGGUCGUCUACCACAAUCGCCACUGUCACACCUGUGCAGAGAGGCAGCAAGCGCCUGGAGGUGCACAUGUGGGGGGACGAAGGCGUGGCCGACACCCUCCGCGCCACCGUCUACAGCGCGCAGGCUCCACGAACAGCUCAGGUCAAGUACGUUCCUCUCUGCGCUCUUCCCUUGUACGAGCGCGUGCCGAGUGUAGAUAAGUCGGUGCUGUCAGGCGACGUGGUGCAGUCUAUGUCGCGCUUGAUCGUGCUGGGGACCUUCCAGGUGCAAGAUGCUCGAAUGUGGCUGGGGCAGCUUGUGCCCGGCAUCGUGGACGCUCUGCACCUCGCAGAGGAGCAGCAGCGCUUCGUCUUCACAAGCCGUUUCUCGGGCUCGGUGCUGACGGUCGACAUCGAGGACGACCAGGACGGCGACAAGGGCAGCCGUGCCAUCUUCGCCUGCAACUCUCUCGUCACACUUGCCACCGUCAAGCGGCACAUUGUGCAGGUGUGCGCGGAGCGCGGCCUCAACAUCAGCACCCGGGAGCACAUUCUCUGCCAAACAGUUCUCCACCAACUACAGCAGCUGUACCCACUCAUGUCGAGCAUGUCGAGCAGCCAACGGCGCUGGCAGCUGCUGCAGGGACUUCGUGAGCUGCAGGGGUCCGAGACCAAUCUGGACUUCCUUCCUAACCUCUUCCAGGAGGUGCUGGCGUCGGCGGAGGAGGUGCAGGCGGAGGCGGAAGCGGAGGCACAGCAGGAGGGCUACCUGAAGCGGGCCGUCGCCGCCCUGUACCGCAGCUUUGUUUACUUCAAGGGCCACGCUCCUCUCUUCAGUGAGGCCAUUCGCGUGCAACUUGAGGCAGCAUCGUGCGGCUUGAGCUUCGACCCCGCCGCGCUCGAGAAGAUUAUGUACCCAGGUGACACGACGCUGCAGGAGGCGGCAGCUGUAGAGGUGGCUGCCAUGUCCACAACCGCACUUGCCUCCAUGAAGCCGGCGGCGUAUGUGCCGCUGACUGCCCCGACGAUCGCUCACGUCGCCGGAGACGCUGACGCUGAAUGUCCGGCGCUCGCCGACUCCUCGGAGGCCCCGAGCCACAUCGCAUCUUCGGCCUCUCUGAGUGACUGAGAGCUCUCUGGACAUCACUGCAGGGGAUCUGCACCCAGCGUGCUUGCCUUUCUACGCCCGCCACCAACGAGUGGACGCGAUCCCCAACCCCUACCCUCCGCUCUCUAAUUGGAUGGCUGGAGUAAGAGUCGGUGAAGGUGAGCGCAGUGACGCCGCAGGGCCCUGCACGCUUCGCGUGUGGGUAGGCGUGCAUCCGCGUGUGAUCAUACAUCUCUCUUCCUUUCUCUGAUUCCCGUGUUGUUCUGCCCGCGCAUCUGUUCCUUGCCUGCUCUCUGUCUGUCUGUGUGCGUGUGCCUCUUGUCGUCGCCCUCAUCUCACCUCACCUCACCUCACCUCCCUUCACUCCUUUUACUCGUCCCCACCAGCGAACACAUCGCAGAAGUGCGGGCAAGUGUGUCGGACCCGCAUCACCCGGAAUGUGCGCCCGCGCUCUCUCUCGUGCGCAUCG